GUGCUUGCUUCGGCAGCACAUAUACUAAAAUUGGAAGGAUACAGAGAUUAGCAUGGCCCCUACGCAGGGAUGACACGCAAAUUGGUGAAGCUUUACAUAUUUAA
Molecule: small nuclear RNA, 104 nt
Organism: Otolemur garnettii (small-eared galago)
Lineage: Eukaryota; Metazoa; Chordata; Mammalia; Primates; Galagidae
Source: Ensembl